RNAcentral lists this ribosomal RNA (2892 nucleotides) under Escherichia coli. RNAcentral describes it as "bacterial LSU rRNA". It matches the Rfam family "Bacterial large subunit ribosomal RNA". Lineage: Bacteria; Pseudomonadati; Pseudomonadota; Gammaproteobacteria; Enterobacterales; Enterobacteriaceae. The record is from RNAcentral.
UUAAGCGACUAAGCGUACACGGUGGAUGCCCUGGCAGUCAGAGGCGAUGAAGGACGUGCUAAUCUGCGAUAAGCGUCGGUGAGGUGAUAUGAACCGUUAUAACCGGCGAUUUCCGAAUGGGGAAACCCAGUGUGUUUCGACACACUAUCAUUAACUGAAUCCAUAGGUUAAUGAGGCGAACCGGGGGAACUGAAACAUCUAAGUACCCCGAGGAAAAGAAAUCAACCGAGAUUCCCCCAGUAGCGGCGAGCGAACGGGGAGNAGCCCAGAGCCUGAAUCAGUGUGUGUGUUAGUGGAAGCGUCUGGAAAGGCGCGCGAUACAGGGUGACAGCCCCGUACACAAAAAUGCACAUACUGUGAGCUCGAUGAGUAGGGCGGGACACGUGGUAUCCUGUCUGAAUAUGGGGGGACCAUCCUCCAAGGCUAAAUACUCCUGACUGACCGAUAGUGAACCAGUACCGUGAGGGAAAGGCGAAAAGAACCCCGGUGAGGGGAGUGAAAAAGAACCUGAAACCGUGUACGUACAAGCAGUGGGAGCCUCUUUAUGGGGUGACUGCGUACCUUUUGUAUAAUGGGUCAGCGACUUAUAUUCUGUAGCAAGGUUAACCGAAUAGGGGAGCCGAAGGGAAACCGAGUCUUAACUGGGCGUUAAGUUGCAGGGUAUAGACCCGAAACCCGGUGAUCUAGCCAUGGGCAGGUUGAAGGUUGGGUAACACUAACUGGAGGACCGAACCGACUAAUGUUGAAAAAUUAGCGGAUGACUUGUGGCUGGGGGUGAAAGGCCAAUCAAACCGGGAGAUAGCUGGUUCUCCCCGAAAGCUAUUUAGGUAGCGCCUCGUGAAUUCAUCUCCGGGGGUAGAGCACUGUUUCGGCAAGGGGGUCAUCCCGACUUACCAACCCGAUGCAAACUGCGAAUACCGGAGAAUGUUAUCACGGGAGACACACGGCGGGUGCUAACGUCCGUCGUGAAGAGGGAAACAACCCAGACCGCCAGCUAAGGUCCCAAAGUCAUGGUUAAGUGGGAAACGAUGUGGGAAGGCCCAGACAGCCAGGAUGUUGGCUUAGAAGCAGCCAUCAUUUAAAGAAAGCGUAAUAGCUCACUGGUCGAGUCGGCCUGCGCGGAAGAUGUAACGGGGCUAAACCAUGCACCGAAGCUGCGGCAGCGACACUGUGUGUUGUUGGGUAGGGGAGCGUUCUGUAAGCCUGUGAAGGUGUGCUGUGAGGCAUGCUGGAGGUAUCAGAAGUGCGAAUGCUGACAUAAGUAACGAUAAAGCGGGUGAAAAGCCCGCUCGCCGGAAGACCAAGGGUUCCUGUCCAACGUUAAUCGGGGCAGGGUGAGUCGACCCCUAAGGCGAGGCCGAAAGGCGUAGUCGAUGGGAAACAGGUUAAUAUUCCUGUACUUGGUGUUACUGCGAAGGGGGGACGGAGAAGGCUAUGUUGGCCGGGCGACGGUUGUCCCGGUUUAAGCGUGUAGGCUGGUUUUCCAGGCAAAUCCGGAAAAUCAAGGCUGAGGCGUGAUGACGAGGCACUACGGUGCUGAAGCAACAAAUGCCCUGCUUCCAGGAAAAGCCUCUAAGCAUCAGGUAACAUUAAAUCGUACCCCAAACCGACACAGGUGGUCAGGUAGAGAAUACCAAGGCGCUUGAGAGAACUCGGGUGAAGGAACUAGGCAAAAUGGUGCCGUAACUUCGGGAGAAGGCACGCUGAUAUGUAGGUGAAGNUGGAGCUGAAAUCAGUCGAAGAUACCAGCUGGCUGCAACUGUUUAUUAAAAACACAGCACUGUGCAAACACGAAAGUGGACGUAUACGGUGUGACGCCUGCCCGGUGCCGGAAGGUUAAUUGAUGGGGUUAGCGGUAACGCGAAGCUCUUGAUCGAAGCCCCGGUAAACGGCGGCCGUAACUAUAACGGUCCUAAGGUAGCGAAAUUCCUUGUCGGGUAAGUUCCGACCUGCACGAAUGGCGUAAUGAUGGCCAGGCUGUCUCCACCCGAGACUCAGUGAAAUUGAACUCGCUGUGAAGAUGCAGUGUACCCGCGGCAAGACGGAAAGACCCCGUGAACCUUUACUAUAGCUUGACACUGAACAUUGAGCCUUGAUGUGUAGGAUAGGUGGGAGGCUUUGAAGUGUGGACGCCAGUCUGCAUGGAGCCGGCCUUGAAAUACCACCCUUUAAUGUUUGAUGUUCUAACGUUGGCCCCUGANCGGGGUUGCGGACAGUGUCUGGUGGGUAGUUUGACUGGGGCGGUCUCCUCCUAAAGAGUAACGGAGGAGCACGAAGGUUGGCUAAUCCUGGUCGGACAUCAGGAGGUUAGUGCAAUGGCAUAAGCCAGCUUGACUGCGAGCGUGACGGCGCGAGCAGGUGCGAAAGCAGGUCAUAGUGAUCCGGUGGUUCUGAAUGGAAGGGCCAUCGCUCAACGGAUAAAAGGUACUCCGGGGAUAACAGGCUGAUACCGCCCAAGAGUUCAUAUCGACGGCGGUGUUUGGCACCUCGAUGUCGGCUCAUCACAUCCUGGGGCUGAAGUAGGUCCCAAGGGUAUGGCUGUUCGCCAUUUAAAGUGGUACGCGAGCUGGGUUUAGAACGUCGUGAGACAGUUCGGUCCCUAUCUGCCGUGGGCGCUGGAGAACUGAGGGGGGCUGCUCCUAGUACGAGAGGACCGGAGUGGACGCAUCACUGGUGUUCGGGUUGUCAUGCCAAUGGCACUGCCCGGUAGCUAAAUGCGGAAGAGAUAAGUGCUGAAAGCAUCUAAGCACGAAACUUGCCCCGAGAUGAGUUCUCCCUGACUCCUUGAGAGUCCUGAAGGAACGUUGAAGACGACGACGUUGAUAGGCCGGGUGUGUAAGCGCAGCGAUGCGUUGAGCUAACCGGUACUAAUGAACCGUGAGGCUUAACCUU